CCCAUUCCGCAAGGAAGUAAGAUCCCUGAAAGAUGAUCAGGUUGAUAGGUCUGAGGUGGAAGUGUGGCGACACAUGGAGCUGACAGAUACUAAUCGAUCGAGGACUUAACCAUAUUU
RNAcentral lists this ribosomal RNA (117 nucleotides) under Bacillus subtilis subsp. subtilis. RNAcentral describes it as "partial 23S ribosomal RNA". It matches the Rfam family "Bacterial large subunit ribosomal RNA", at positions 2813 to 2925 of the family's 2925-position model. Lineage: Bacteria; Bacillati; Bacillota; Bacilli; Caryophanales; Bacillaceae. The record is from RNAcentral.